This 588-nucleotide ribosomal RNA is filed under the name Crystallibacter crystallopoietes. RNAcentral describes it as "SSU rRNA". It matches the Rfam family "Bacterial small subunit ribosomal RNA", at positions 788 to 1372 of the family's 1533-position model. The record is from RNAcentral. Lineage: Bacteria; Bacillati; Actinomycetota; Actinomycetes; Micrococcales; Micrococcaceae.
UGGUAGUCCAUGCCGUAAACGUUGGGCACUAGGUGUGGGGGACAUUCCACGUUUUUCCGCGCCGUAGCUAACGCAUUAAGUGCCCCGCCUGGGGAGUACGGCCGCAAGGCUAAAACUCAAAGGAAUUGACGGGGGCCCGCACAAGCGGCGGAGCAUGCGGAUUAAUUCGAUGCAACGCGAAGAACCUUACCAAGGCUUGACAUGGACCGGACCGCCGCAGAAAUGCGGUUUCCCUUCGGGGCUGGUUUACAGGUGGUGCAUGGUUGUCGUCAGCUCGUGUCGUGAGAUGUUGGGUUAAGUCCCGCAACGAGCGCAACCCUCGUUCUAUGUUGCCAGCGCGUUAUGGCGGGGACUCAUAGGAGACUGCCGGGGUCAACUCGGAGGAAGGUGGGGACGACGUCAAAUCAUCAUGCCCCUUAUGUCUUGGGCUUCACGCAUGCUACAAUGGCCGGUACAAAGGGUUGCGAUACUGUGAGGUGGAGCUAAUCCCAAAAAGCCGGUCUCAGUUCGGAUUGAGGUCUGCAACUCGACCUCAUGAAGUCGGAGUCGCUAGUAAUCGCAGAUCAGCAACGCUGCGGUGAAUACGUU